Long non-coding RNA from Patella vulgata (common limpet), 3265 nucleotides. RefSeq lists it as uncharacterized. The record is from RefSeq and is a predicted model, not a curated record. The transcript has 3 exons. Lineage: Eukaryota; Metazoa; Mollusca; Gastropoda; Patellidae.
UAUUAGCACUCGACACUGUCUAGCUGAUGUAGGCCAAGCUGUGGUUACGUAGAAAAUAUAUUCUCCGUGAAUUGAUAUAUCUGCGAAUCGUGUUUGUAACUAAAUUUAUUCUAGGAAAACACUACUUACUCGGUCUAUAGGGAUUAUUCAGAGUUAUUGUACGUUUAAUGAAUAUAGAUCAGAGAAUAGGGUCCGCCAGUUUUAUGAUAAAGGCUAUCCUAUACCAGUAACUUAGACACUUUUGCGAUAGAGAUUAUAAACAUCUAAAAAUAGUAUCAUGGCAACAGCCGAUGAACUUAAUCGGGGUCGCAUGAAUAACAUCGACCAUUAUGUUUUGCAGAGUAAUAUGCCGUAUCUUUGCGAGCAGAUAAGAGGCGACGUGGUUAUCAUUAAUAUGUUUUCAAAGCAUAUUUUUAACCGUGAUGAUAUGGAUAUGAUUGAAAAGAAGCAGGAGAUCAGUCCGCGCCAAGGGAUAAAGGAAGCGUUAAAAUGUUUGAUGGAAAGCGGUGGUGUCAAUGCAUUUGAUUCCUUUAUCGAUUGCUUACAUACAUCUGGCUUUACGCAUGUGGCAGAAAAGUUAAAACUUGAUCGAAAAGAAAGAACAGACGCGAUGAAUGUGGAAGCAAAACUACCUAAUCCCGAAACCACAGCCCCUACAUAUGACUCAUAAUACAAAAAUAACUGUUCGUGUAUUACAAUAGAUUGUUACAAAUGGCUUGAAAACGUAAUGAAUUAUGUUUCGUGAUCUCAACUAAUUAGUGAACAUUAACCUCUUUGAAUAGACUCAAAAAUGAUCAAUUUUUAUCAAUCUUAUGAAUUCGUUUAUUGCACUCGCCAUUACCUAUCUAUCCAUCUGAAGACUCCAUCGACAACUGUAAUUUUCCGAAUUGUUUAAAGAUUGCGUUACUGUACCUAAAAUAAUAGAAUGCGACAAACUUUGUGUACUGAAUGAGUGCCGUGAUCGUAUAUUUUAUUGCCAGGCAACCUGUAUUAUGACAUGAAACAUUGGGGUGAGACCUGCUUUCUUCUUCCGUAACGUCUGGUGCCAUUUUAACGCGUCAAUGGGGGGCCCCGCGAGCAAAAGGCCUCAUGCUAAUGUAACUUUUAUGUUUUAUACACUGAUUUUGUUGGAAGCACCAAUACAAUUAUAUGUCUAUUCAGGGCAAAUGUUCCAAGGAUCCCCCGCAUUUGCAUACUGCUUUGUUCAGUGCCUGCGCUCAGUUGAUUUUUUAUGAUUAAAGAAAUUUUAAAAUACAAAUAUUUUACUUUCAACACUUUAUCUAAAUAACUAUAUUGAACCAACUUAUUUGUAAAAUCGCUAUGCUUAUUUCCCCAUUUGAUCGGAAAACGCUAGAUCUUGGAAAAAUCAUAAUUCUACCCUUCCUACAUGUUUCUCUUUGAAUAUUUCUGGUAUACACUUAGUUAAUUUGCCGCACCCCGAGAAGUGUCGCUCUGGGCAUAUGCCCCCCUCAUUCCCUCCGAUAUGUGAGGGCCCUGAUGUGAAUGGCUGUGUAGGUAGGGACCCCAAUGCACUGCUUUGCCCGGGGCCUGUAAUCGAAUGCUGAAUUAACAAUCCGAGUACUUAACGAAUUUUUGUGGAGGUUUCUUUUUUAGAAUUCUACAAAUUGAUAUUAGAAUUUAUAAACUUACAUCUUUAGUUUGCGAGAGAACUCUAAUAUAGAAAUCGUGCGCUUGGUAGUCCCCUCCCCCGGCCACCUGGAAAUUCUAUACUAAUAUUUGUGACUGUCGUUUGUCUAUCUGGUUGUCUGUCUGUUCGGGGUUGGCGGCUACACUAGGUCUGCCCCGAGUCUGAAAUUUGGGGCAUAGGCGUAGCUCGGACCGGGGAGUAACAUAGGCCAGGUGGCGUUAGUCUACGACUUCCGGUUUCGGGGUUACGACCUCCGAGCGAAGCCGGGCAUUCUUCUAGUGUAUAUAUAAUUUUGAUUUGAUCUAUUUUGCAAUAAAAUUGUAAUUUUUAUUAUGUGAGAUAUCUAAAGAUAAAAUAUAUUGUUUAGAUGAUAUAACAAUGAAGUUUGUAUGGCAGCCGUGGGUCGCCAAAGUGAUUCAUGUACAUUGUUCGGGUAGCUAACAAUUUCCAUAAAAAAAAUUUUUUAAACGUGUAACCCAUGAAGUAUUGAUAAAUUAAUUUGUAAAUAUCAACUUAAAGAUACAUUAUGUACGAGCUCAAUCUGCCCAUUACAGGUCUUUCUGUUGGCUUAAAAUGUUGUAUAAAUUAUUAUUUAGACCUUUAUUCACAUGACAAGCCCAUAAUCAACUCUCUAGGGCAUUGGAUGGUUAUGAUUUUGAAUGGAUUGAUACACCUUUUAAUAAUUUGUAUUAAAAAUGGAUAGUCGAUACAAUAGAUUUAUUAUCGUUGCAAUGGUUCAUCAAAUUUGAAAUAUUCAAAAUAUACAUUUUUCAUUGUCUAUUUUUGAACUAUUAUAGCAAGAACGGACUUUAUCUAUAUCUUGCAUAAUGCAUCUUUAAUGUCUCAUCUGGAUUCAUUGAUUGGUCUCAAUUAAACGGUAUCAUUAAAUAUAGUCAUUAUCGCAAAUCACAGUGUAAUGCCUUAUAUUAUUCAGUGUGUAAAAUAGGUUUGUAUUCGCCCCCAGAUCUCUCUUUAAAACAUGUCCCUGUGCCCUACGACCACCCAGCUCAAAAAGAUCAACCGCCCGAAACCUCAUUUAAGGAAAUCCACGCGGGAUUUUUUAAAAAUUCCCUUUCAAUGUAUAGACUAGUGAGAUAUUAAACCCCAUUUCAUUUCAAUUUUGAGACCGUAUUUAAUCUCUUAAUAGCUUAAUUAGUCACCCGGUAAUGCCAAGGGUCAUUGCAGAUUUCAUCAUAGCUCGCAAGAUGUAACAUGAUUGUUGACGAGAUUGUGGGUUAGGGUUAGCCCUAGCCCAAAUUCUUGUAACCAUAACCCUAACAUCUCGUGACCUAUAGCGAAAUCGGCAAUGACUUGGCUUUCAGCCUUAAUUGCAUAGCAAGGGUAAAAAAUCGCCAUCUGCCUAACAUCCAGAAUUACUAAAUACUUCACCAAAAUGCACCAUUUAAAAAUUCCUUGUAAAGACACGUUUUAUUUUACAUUUACGUGUAUUUUAAAAUUAACAUCAGUUCAACCGUUUGGUGUUCUACAGCAGACAGACAUACUUUUAUUGAAGUAUUUUGUCGUUUGUUAUGCUCAAUUGUCUUUUUUACUAUUUCAUUUGGAAUUUAGAUUAUUUGGCGUGAAAAUAUUUUUUUAAUAAAGUUGUUUGAAAAUUUC